GACGAACGCUGGCGGCGUGCUUAACACAUGCAAGUCGAACGGAAAGGCCCCUUCGGGGGUACUCGAGUGGCGAACGGGUGAGUAACACGUGAGUAACCUGCCCUUGACUUCGGGAUAACUUCAGGAAACUGGGGCUAAUACCGGAUAGGAAUCCUUGCUGCAUGGUGGGGGUUGGAAAGCUUCGGCGGUUUUGGAUGGACUCGCGGCUUAUCAGCUUGUUGGUGGGGUAGUGGCUUACCAAGGCUUUGACGGGUAGCCGGCCUGGGAGGGCGACCGGCCACAUUGGGACUGGGGUACGGCCCAGACUCCUACGGGAGGCAGCAGUGGGGAAUAUUGCACGAUGGGCGGAAGCCUGAUGCAGCAACGCCGCGUGCGGGAUGACGGCCUUCGGGUUGUAAACCGCUUUCAGCAGGGGCGAAGCUUGUGGUGACGGUACCUGCAGAAGAAGCACCGGCUAACUACGUG
RNAcentral lists this ribosomal RNA (465 nucleotides) under uncultured bacterium. RNAcentral describes it as "partial 16S ribosomal RNA". It matches the Rfam family "Bacterial small subunit ribosomal RNA", at positions 28 to 507 of the family's 1533-position model. The record is from RNAcentral.